AACGAACGCUGGCGGCAUGCCUAACACAUGCAAGUCGAACGAAGUCUUCGGACUUAGUGGCGCACGGGUGCGUAACGCGUGGGAAUCUGCCCUUGGGUACGGAAUAACUCAGAGAAAUUUGUGCUAAUACCGUAUAAUGUCGUAAGACCAAAGAUUUAUCGCCCAAGGAUGAGCCCGCGUAAGAUUAGCUAGUUGGUAGGGUAAAAGCCUACCAAGGCGACGAUCUUUAGCUGGUCUGAGAGGAUGAUCAGCCACACUGGGACUGAGACACGGCCCAGACUCCUACGGGAGGCAGCAGUGGGGAAUAUUGGACAAUGGGCGAAAGCCUGAUCCAGCAAUGCCGCGUGAGUGAUGAAGGCCCUAGGGUUGUAAAGCUCUUUUACCAGGGAUGAUAAUGACAGUACCUGGAGAAUAAGCUCCGGCUAACUCCGUG
This 433-nucleotide ribosomal RNA is filed under the name uncultured bacterium. RNAcentral's name for it is "bacterial SSU rRNA". It matches the Rfam family "Bacterial small subunit ribosomal RNA", at positions 29 to 507 of the family's 1533-position model. The record is from RNAcentral.